GCCCCCGUGGGGUAGCCUGGAUAUCCUGUGGGCCUGCGGAGCCCGUGACCCGGGUUCAAAUCCCGGCGGGGGCACCA
Molecule: transfer RNA, 77 nt
Filed under: Thermoplasmata archaeon
Lineage: Archaea; Methanobacteriati; Thermoplasmatota; Thermoplasmata
Also listed under: 2 other names
Description: tRNA-Arg
Rfam family: tRNA
About the family: Transfer RNA (tRNA) molecules are approximately 80 nucleotides in length.
Source: RNAcentral